RNAcentral lists this long non-coding RNA (7824 nucleotides) under Sorghum bicolor (sorghum). RNAcentral describes it as "long non-coding RNA (SBIC_LNC003353)". The record is from RNAcentral. Lineage: Eukaryota; Viridiplantae; Streptophyta; Magnoliopsida; Poales; Poaceae.
GUCAAGCUGUGUAGACCCUUAGGAGCUUGUCAUGUGGUUAAAUCAAGAUUCACUUGCACGUUCACUCACACAUGCUACUUCUACUCCAGAAGUACCAUCCACAUAUAUCCAUCCAUUUCCAUCUCCAGAACCACCCAAAAAUAUUCUACUCCUAAUCCGGGAGAGAAUAGCCAAAAACAUUCUCCUAUUUCUGUUUUUCCCUGUGAAAAAAAUGCUCAAGUUAUCUUGGUUACUACCACUUGCUAUAUUAUUUAAGGAGAUGAGUGCUCUAAAAAAAGAAAGAAUGCGAGGAAAUAAAAAGGGGCAAGUGCCCGGAACCUCGAAAGAAAAGAAAAGUGAGACGAGUGGUAAAAAUGGACAAGUGUCCGACAGUAGAAUUAGGGGUACAAGAUACCCACCUGAGAGAAAAAAAAGAGAGAAAAAGAAAAUAUAGAGCAUCUCAUUCUCCUCAAAAAGUUUCAAAAGAGCAAGAAAGGUAUGUAUCCCCUCAAAAGAGCAUAAGUAGAAUUAGACUUUCACCAUCGUUAUCACCAUCAUCACCAUACAUCAUUCAUUCGCCACACAUGCACAUCUUGAUUUGACUUAUUGACUUGUUCUUCUGCAUCCAUGGUUUGACUAUGCAAAAAAUGUCUUGUAAGUAUGUAUUAGCUGUCUCCCACCUAUGAGCUCCAGAUAUCAAAACCUUAUUAGAGUAGGGUGAGAGAGAAGGCAAUACCACUAUGCCUCAUACCAAAAAUACCACAUACUUUGAGAGAAGGCAUAUACCAUUACUGCCUUGGUAAGGAUCCAGAAAUACCACAAAAGAGAGACUAGAGAGAGUCAUACAAGGAAUCUCUGAGUUUUAUUUGAAAAUCUGCAAAAACUCGAGAGCUAUAGUUAAUCGAAGAACAAGAGACAUGGUGCUUGACUAGACUGUUCUAUCUUUUAACUACUCAAGACAGAAGUGACGGUUACAAGUCCCAUGGUGAAAGGUAAAUGAGUAAGUUUUAAGUCUUAACAGUUUACUCUAACCAGAGAUGAGAUCUUGUUUAAACGCAUGUGUAUCUUUAAGUUACGAAACCACUGCAGAAACUCUUGAGUUCAUCUUUGCUCAGGGACGAGCAAAGGUUAAGCUUGGGGGAGCUUGUUGACGGUCCUUAAUGCUCAUAUUUAACCAUCAACUAAUCAUGGAAAAGGAUCCAAAUGGAACCAACACCUAGACUUAGGGUUUUAUCUGACAGAAUUCCAUGAGUUUUGGUGUUUGUGUAUUUCUGCAGGGGGUUAUCAGGAAAUAUAAAAGAAAGGCCCACACGUCGGGUUUACAUAGAGAUAUUAACGUGCCGCGCAAUUUUAUAUCAUCUAGAAGACUCCAGAAGCCACGGGACCGAAGCGGAGGCCGAGAGGACACAGGGACAGGGCGCCCGCCCUCCUUUCCUGGGCGCCCGCCCUCAGCCAGAGUCCAAUCAGGACUCUCUUUCAGGAUAUUGCUCCACCGACCUAAAGGAUCAACAAUAACCGUUCAAUCAAUGUCGGUUUGAUCCGACGGCCUAGAUUCACUUGAAGGGACUAUAAAACUAGACCCCCUGGCCCCUGGAGAUCAUACCUCUUCUACAGAAUCAAAGCUAGGGUUUCAAUUCUUCAUCCAAGUAGAGAGGAUCCCUCUAGUUCUUCUAGUUCUAGUUCCUCUAGUUCUAGUUCUAGUUAGUUCUAGUUGUAAUCUAGAAAAUAGGGAGAGAGAAGAGGAGAGCGGAGGAGGAGCCGGAUCUGUCAGAUCUUCCUCAACAUUGUACUUUUGCAGCAUCUGGUUCGUUCUUCAUCGUUCUCCAGGUUCUUCAACUCAUAACUCCUGAGUUCUCUAAUUACUUUUAUUUACAUUCAAGUUAUUUAUUGGAUUCCCGCUUGCAUCAAGUGCUCUAAUCUUUGAAACAUUAGAGUAGUAAUUAAUAGAUUAGAUGUGGUGUUUAGUCAUGCAAUUACCUGGAAUUGCACCCAAUCCUGUGGAUUGUUGUGGUAGCCUUAGGGUAGUGACAGCCCUAACGGUCGACGUAUUCCACCUCGUUCGGAUCGGUGUUUGUAGGACCGUAGUUGGAGCUUCCUAGCCCCCUUCUCAUCUCUUUCUGUGGUUAGUGUUCUGAUGUCCUGAUAUAGAUAAUCUUGAAGUAAUUCUUGAUUCUUAGAUCAACUAGAGAACUCUCAGGAAACUUCUCUCUUCCCACCAAAAAUAAUUAUAUAAGUUAUCCUUGGGCGAUCUUGAUUCUUAAUUAGUACACUCACGUUCUCUGUGGAAAAUCGAUACUCUGGAAUACUCCCGGGUGAAAGCUACAUCGGUAUCCGUGCGCUUGCGGAUUUUUCUAUUUGCGUUUAAAAUACCCAACACUGAGGUCCUAUCUUUUAAUCAAAAAGAUAAUGCACUUUUAGCUACACCUAGGGAAUCUUUUAAUCUUUCUAUAAAUUCUGGUUUAGACCUAGCCCUACAAGACCAUGUUUUCCUAGAUAUUUUCACAUUGGUCUUAAUCAUAUAACCUUUGGUAGAGUCUUUCUUUCUUUAUCUAUUAGUAAAGGAAGGUAUGUCUUCAUUCGUAGACACCCUUCUUGCACUAGUCUUCAUAGAAAAAUCUUAGAGAUAGAGAAGGAAUCAUCUCCCAUACAAGGAGAGGAAGUUUCAAUAGCCGAUUUCCAAACAUUUCAAUCCCGUAAUUCGGCUAUCCAACCCAUCCUUGAGCUUAAUAAUUUCUACUAUGCUUUUUCUCUUGAACCUCCCGAUAAUCCUAUGAAUCUCUCUAGACAUCCCAUGCAUAAGAAGGAUGAUCGAGAAGAGCAACAUCAAUGGCUAGAGGACAUUAAAAAUCCAUGUGCUAUCACCAUUGAAUGGAUAGAUAAAACAAACUUGAGAGACAAUCCUAGAGGAAUUUUAAGCAUUCAUGAAGAAUCAUCCUUGGAGUUUAAGAAUGAGAGAAACAACAGUGAGCAUGGAAGUUAUUUCAUAAAUACCUCACCCGGUCCUUGCUCAUAUAAAACAUCUCUCCAAUCAAUUUGUCUCUCCAUCCUUACCACAUUUGAGAUCUGCAACCCCCUCUUCCUCUUCAUUUAUAAAAACUUUAAAAGGGCAGUUGUCGAUGCAUAUGUCUAUAAUAAAUAUUGCAGAUCUCGUUGAGUUGAUCUUGAUAUAGGUAGGUGUUGGAGGGGAAACCACUUCACCAACAUAACUUGAUGGUUUCCCAAGAACAAGCUUAGUGUCCUAAAACAAGCACCUAUCAGAUCACAACAUGAACUUCUAAUUAUUUGCAACAUUGCUUUGUGUAUUGAGCAUAUAAAGAUAAUUGUAGAAAUAUUCCUUCGGGUAUUCUUGUCACUAACCUUUCCAGGAUUGGAGCAAGAAGAUCGGAUGAAUGACAGGCACAGGGUAUGUCCAACCAACCAUCACACAACAUUGAAUUAAAUACAUCCAAACUUGAAUUUUGUAAAAUUCAAGCUUGGGGGAGUACUUUACAUAAAAACAUCUUUUGCCAUGUUGCUACGUUGGUUGUCCUUACCUUUGAGACAUGCUCAAUUUGUUAAAUACUAAUUACACUACUUCAUCUCCACUUAAGUAGAUCUAUAUAAAUGCUCUCAUGCUACAUUUAAUUGCUUUAGUAUAUGUCAAGGUUUGGAAUAGUUUCAUUUAUCUCUUAAUUAAGCAUGGUGCUUAGUUUAGGAAUGAUGAUCUUACUUCCAAGGGAUUUUAAAUUAAGCAUGGUGCUUAGGUUAAAAUGCCCUUCUAAAUCAAAUUAGACAUGGUGUCUAGGUUGAUUUUUAAGCCGAUAGUAUGCUAUAGUAGAUAGGGGAUAUUUUGUUGGACUAACCCCUGCAGGAAAACUUUCAAUAUCAACCUGGGAAGUCCUGAGAUAAACUCGCAUUGGAGAUGAAGAAAGUGACACAUGAAGUUUAACAAUUUGCACAAGAAAGACGUGGCUCAUAAGAGAUGAUUCAUGGAGGGUGCCACAAACACGAUGCACAACCGCUAAGAAAGGAAAGCUUCCACAGAUACUGUACCGUCACUCUUCAAGUAAGGUAACACCUUAAGGUACUUGACUAUCGCUUUUAUAAGUUUCUCCUUGGUUCUAGCAUUCACAUAAAUAAAGAGACAAACAUGUAUGAUUUAUAACUCCAGAUUAACCAACUCAAUUAAUUCAACAUGUUUAGUCCUUUAAUCUUUGUCCUUAGUACUACCCUUGUGAUCCCACGCUCCUAAACAUAUAAGCUAAUAUGUUGCACAUUCAAUAUUUGGAAGAUAUAAACAAAACGUAAAUAUAGAUAGAUUAUCUUUCCAUUAGGUUGAGCCAUCUGAUCUAACAAAUGUUUCAAAUACUACACUCAUGAUCUUAUUAUCCAUCAACUUUGUCUUGCUCACUAUGCUUAAGGUUAGAGAAGAACAAAUACACUUUUGGUUCUGUUGGUGUUUUCCACCAAUAGAGCCCAUGCACUUGAUCUCUGCCUUGUCUCUAUGAACAGGUACACUUCAAGCAAAAUAUGGAGGAGUUUUACAACUCCUAGACUCCACCAAGUGAAGGACCUGGAUCUAUGAGCACAAACACACUGAGCAGGAUAUUGCCAACACCAUACUUCGAACUGCUGGGCAAAGAAGAACAUGGGUGACACCGUAUCAAGAGGUGCAGACGUCAAGGUCCACACCUAAUCAAAUGAUGCACCUAAAGGAUGAAGAUGGUGGAAAGUCUUGUCCAGAAGACUUAAAACAUUGGAUCCUUGUCGGAAGAGGUCAACAUCGUCGACUCAAGUCACCUUUCUUGAUUAAGAAGGACGACCCUGGUGUUCCAAGCAGCGAAUGCGCAAUCAAUGGAUACUCUUUUGAGAAGACACUCUACGACACCGGAUCUGACGACAACAUAAUGGCCGCAGCCACUUAUCAGCUCCUGCAUCGAACCAUGCCCUUACAACCAAUAUAUUCAGCUCCAGAUGAUUUUCAGGUCAUUGACAUGGGAGAAGACGAGUACGAUCUACCUACCAUCCUUGGACGACCGUUCCUCAACACUAUCAAAGCAAUCAUCUACAUUGGAACCGGAGAAGUCCACAUGUACUUCCCCUCUGAGAAGGUACGCAACAAUUUUACUGACCAUAACUAUAUAGUUGAAGACUCUAAGUAGGUCAGGACAAGAAGACGACGCAACCGCAACCAGAGGAGGCAAAUCAUCAAGGACGGAUGGGUAGACUACGAAGGAGAAGUGAUAAGGUCUGAAGACAUAUAGCUUGAACAAAACUGUCCUGAGGAGACCGUAGCACCGAGUCAGGUGUGGAGAGAGAAGAUAGUUAUACACGAAGAGAGGCGCCGCCGGAAUCACCGACUACGCCACCUAGCGAAUCCCAGAAUGACUGAGAAAACAGAGAGUCCCGUUCGGAGGACAUAAAAAUACCGAACGCCUUGCCAAGAGGUAAACUUGGUAGUUACCCUUUCCUUUCAAUUAUUCAAUUAUAAUUUGCUUAGUUAAUCAGGUUCAUGCUAUCUUGAAAAGAAAAUAAAAAUGUUAAAAAAUAGUAAGCCCCAUGUGAGUAUGCUCAUGGCAUAAAACCCAUAAGUACAUUCACUGUGGUGGCAUAAAAAUAAAAUAAAUAAGUUUUCAUCUUACAAUAAAAAUAUAUAUAUAAAAUAUAUAUAUAUAAUAAUAAGUGUAUGAUCCUGCUAAAUAAAUAACAUUUAUUAAGGAAGCUCAACAUGAUGAAGGCUAGAUAUUUAUGCUAACACUUAAUUAGUUUCACAAGCUUUGUUGUCUAUUUGAGCUCCACAGAAUUUAAGAAUCAAGAAGACUAGCAGACGGAGGACAUUCUAAUCACUGUCAGAAUGCUGCUGACUUUCAAAUACACCUCUGCCACCUGCUAGCUACAUCAAGAGAAAUUACGUCAAAAUUCAGCUUGGGGGAGAGCACCCCCAUUAUUCUCGCUAAGUAUUUCUACCUAUCUUUAUACUUAUAUUAUGUUAGAAUAUUAAAAUACAUAAACUAUGAAAAACCAAAUAAAGAUUUUGUGUUUAUAUAUAUCUUUUGCUUAGUAUGUUUAAUAAAUAAAUAAAGUGGCUAUGCUAAUCUGAAUCUUAAUAAUAAAACUCUAGCAUGGAUAUGAUGAAUAGUUGCUCUGCCUAAUUUGCAAUUUUGAAGUUCCCUCUCAAGUUUAGACAUAACUGUUAUAAUUUAAAUCUUGCUCUAGACCUAAACUUGUGGGAUGAAAACUUGAUCUGAAAUCUAAGUUGUUAACGGAUAUGAUAUGGGAAGGUUGAGCUGCUGUUUAUCUGUUCCUAGAGAUGCUAGAAUUCUGGAGAAUUUUAUCUUUGAAAAAUCUUUAAAAUAUUGCAUGAUGAGUUCCUGUAUGAUGAGAGUUUAAAAUCCUACCACAUCCAUAUGUACAUGCUUAUUAGACUAUGAACCAUACAUUUACUUUUUACUGCUUAUGAGCAUUGAGUGUGGUCAAGCUGUGUAGACCCUUAGGAGCUUGUCAUGUGGUUAAAAUCAAGAUUCACUUGCACGUUCACUCAUACAUGCUACUUCUACUCCGGAAGUACCAUCCACAUACAUCCACUCAUUUCCAUCUCCAGAUUCACCCAAAAUUAUUCUACUCCUAAUCCGGGAGAGAAUAGUCAAAAAACAUUUUCCUAUCCCUGUUAUUCCCUGUGAAAUAAAUGCUCCAAAUAUUUUGGUUACUACCACUUGCUAUAUUAUCUCAAGAGAUGAGUGCUCUGAAAAAAAAAGAGAAAAGAGAAGAAAAGAAAAAAAUAUAUAAAUGAGGAAAUAAAAAGGGGCAAGUGCCCGGAACCUCGAAAGAAAGAAAAGUGAGACGAGAGGUAAAAAUGGACAAAUGUCCGACAGUAGAAUUAGGGGUACAAGAUACCCACCUGAAAAAAAAGAAGAAGAGCAUCUCAUUCUCCUCAUAAAGUUUCAAGAAGCAAGGAAGGUAUGUAUCCCCUCAAAAGAGCAAAAGUAGAAUUAGACUUUCACCAUUGUUAUUACCAUCAUCACCAUACACCAUUCAUUCGCCACACAUGCACAUCUUGAUUUGGCUUAUUGAUUUGUUUCUCUGGAUCCAUGGUUUGACUAUGCAAUAAAUGUCUUAUAAGUAUGUAUUAACUGUCUCCCACCUAUGAGCUCCAAAUAUCAAGCCUUAUUAGAGUAGGGUGAGAGAGAAGGCAAUGUCACUAUGCCUUAUACCACAAAUACCACAUAUCUUGAGAGAAGGCAUAUACCAUCAAUGCCUUGGUAAGGAUCCAGAAAUACCACAAAAGAGAGAUAUGAGAGAGUCAUACAAGGAAUCUCUGAGUUUUAUUUGAAAAUCUGCAAAAAAAACCCCAGAGCUAUAGCUGAUCAAGAAUAAGAGACAUGGUGUUGACACUAGCUAACACCACUUAGAUACUAGGUUGUCAUCCCUAGCAUGGCGCCAGAGUGUACAAAGGUAUUUAUAAAUGUAAAGGCUCUCUAGAAAAUAAUUUAUUCUAUCCGCAAGCGCACAGAUAAAACACCUCAUUGUAGCAUUUCACCAGGAUAAGUAUUCCAGGUAUCGUUAUUUAUAAUUUUGCUCAAGGGAUCUCAAGAAGAUGGAAUUAAAUCAUGGGACAAAAUCUAUCAAGGCAUAGACUAUAGAUAAACUUGCAAGAACAUGAUUACUAAUAAGAAACUCGUCACACAGUCACAUACUUUAGCAGGGGGUAAACCAUAAAGAUAAUGAUAAUGAAUUAUAAGUUCAUGGGUAGAUAGCACAGCGAUUAGAAAAUAGACUACUCCUCAUAUGUAGGUGAUGUCGGAUUAGCUAGAGAAUGGAUUCUAAGUUAUCUACUAACUACUAAGUCAUAAUCUACUCUAGUUAUCU